This is a long non-coding RNA of Myotis daubentonii (Daubenton's bat), 3704 nucleotides long. RefSeq lists it as uncharacterized. Lineage: Eukaryota; Metazoa; Chordata; Mammalia; Chiroptera; Vespertilionidae. The record is from RefSeq and is a predicted model, not a curated record.
CGGAGCGCGGCCGCCGGCGCCUGCGCGGGCCGGUCUGCCCUCGGGGAGUCGGCGCCCAGGGGAGGCGCUCGGCCCGCGCGCGCCGGCCGCGGGAGGCUGCGGGGCCGGGCCCCCGGGAGCGGCGCAGAGACACGGGCCAGCUGAAAUGAGCUUCACGAAGUUGUCGUUGAGCGCGAUGCCGGCUUUAGCAUCGAAGACGGACGAGUGGGUGUCGCCGAUAAAGUCCGUAGAGACAACCUGGGUGCCAGAAUUUCUGAGGAAGCAUGUAUUGAGCAUCUGCUGUGUGCCAGGCCCUGAGAAGAUGGCUGGAGCUAUGGAAGUGAAAGGAUAGUCCCCAGGUCCUUGCCUUCUUGGAGUGCACGUGCUCGCAGGACCAGCAGUGACUGAAAUGGAAUUUCAGGUCUGAAGUGAUGAGCCAGGUGUGGAGGUUGUGGGGCCACCACAGACCACUGGAGGGGCACCUGCAAGCUGGGGUUCAGCCUUGCCGAGAGUUACACAGAAUUUAAAAGACUCUACCACUGGCGGGCCUUUCCUCUUGAAACCAGUCUCUUUCUAUUAAAGUCACACACUAAUCCCGAGAGGAAGCGGUACAGGUUCCCUGCCAUCCAUCCUGCCCAGCCCUCGCCCCAACUCACCAUCAGUCCUUCCACAAUCCCGAAUCGCUCAUGGACGACCUUGGCAAGGGGGGCCAGGCAGUUGGUGGUGCAGGAUGCAUUGCUGAAACAGCCCAGUAUGCAGGGGAACUGUGAGGCUGGCAUGUUCUCUGGACAUCACCCACCCACUUCUGGAUGUUGCUGCCCGUUACCUGACAACUUUCAUGGAAUCAGGAUUAUAGUCCUUUUCAUUCACCCCCAUGACAAACAUGGGUGCAUCUGGUGAGGGUGCGCUGAUGACCACACGUAAGGCACCCGCCUGGAUGUGGCUCUAGGGAAGGAGGAAGGAGCACUGGUGUCAUGAACUGAUGAGAUGCUUUGAGUGUCACCCCCCCUGGCCAGCCCCGCCCACUUCUCCCCACUUACGGAAGCUUCCUCUUGGGACAGAUUCUGGACAUAUCUUUAUAUGGAGGAAAAUUAACAUCAAUAACUAUGUGAAAUGGGGCCAAGAGGCAUGCAUCAGACAGCUGCCCUUACCACUGGAAGACACUGAUCUCCUGUUUAUCCACAACCAGCCGUCCAUUCUUGUAUUCCACAGUCCCCUUGUAUCGGCCAUGAGUGGAGUCAUACUUAAACAUGUACACCUGUGGGAGACAGAAUGGCUCCUGAUCUUUGGGGUGGCAGGGGUGGGGGAGCAAGCAUCCCUAAGGAAUCCCUGCCUUGGUGAAGGUUUCAUAUUGCACCUGAGAACCUCCCAGAGAGCACCCCUGAACCCCCGAUUCUACCCUUUACCUACUACUCACCAUGUAUUCCGGGUCAAUGAAUGGAUCAUUCACUGCCACCACCUUAACGCCUUUCUGCAUGCAGGCUCGCAGCACCAGGCGACCGAUACGUCCAAAUCUGUCCAGGACGGGUUUGGGGUUGUCUUCAGAAUCCUCAGCCAGCAGGCAGAGGAGGGGAAGGAAAGAAGGGGGCAGCAGGAGGCUCCUCAAGGGGACUGGGUGGGACGACUCGGUCUCGGGGAAGAAGGCAGCCAACCCUCUGCAGGCAGCUAUUAUCUUGCUCAUGAUCUCACCAGCUUAACUGAUUUGCCUGCUUCCUCACCCAGCCAUUCUUUACCCCAUUCCUAAUCGUGUAGUUGGAUGGAUCUUAAAGAACUUCAGGCCCGAUUACGUCUCUUGGCCUGAAAGCCUCUACAGCUCUAUCAGUAAAACUAGAUCCAAAUUCCUUACCAUGGCUUACGAGGCCCAUCUGCUUUCCAACACUCCUUCCUCUUCUGCCUUGCUUGCUCCACACCAGCACUGAAUUCCUGCCUGUCCUUUGCAUACUGUGCUGCCACCUGUGCCCCCAAGCCAUUGCUUGCUGCACAGCUGCCACUCAGGCCUCACUCCAGUGUCAUCUCCCAGAGGUCUUUCCUGACACCCCAGCUAACACUGGCCUCUCCAGUCUUACUAUACUUCAUACUGUUCAUUCACACAUCACCAAACAAAUGUUCCUUAUUUGAUGUUUUCCCACCAGAAUGUGAGCUCUCUUAGGGGACAAAGCCCUGUCUACUCCCCCCCCCCCCCCCUUCUCCAAGGUGGACAGAGUGAAAGCACUGAUGGUGUGAAAUGUGGAGAUGCCCUAUUCAGUAACUGGAGGAAUGCCUGGGCCCUAUGGCUUCAGGAAGGCUCAGAGGCCAGGGCUGACUCACCCAUUGAUGCCAACAGUCAGUUCCCGAACCACAGGAACUUUCUGAGGUGGAGGAGGAGGUGGAGGAGGUGGUGGAGGUGGAGGAGGUGGGGCUUCCUCCUUGAUAGGCUCUGGCUCUGGUUCUGGGUCUGGCUCUACCACUGGCUCUGGCUCUGGCUCUGGCUCUGGCUCAACUUUGGGUGGUGGCGGCGGCGGUGGUGGUCUGGUUACUGUUGGAAGGAGUGGGGGUGGCAAUGAACUGCACCAUCACAGUGAGAGAAAAUGAGCUGUGUUUCCCAAACUUACCUGAUCCACAAAAUGAACAGAGGAUGGGCUUGCUUUAAGAUAUCAAUGCCAGGGCCUUCCCUGGUAAUUCUAAUUCAGUGGGUACUGUGUAUCUUUAACAGUUGCUUGGGAUGGCCGAAACCGUCAGUUUCCUCCUUUCUAAAAUGGAGAUAAUAGUACUCUCAGAGGGUCACUGUGAGGAUUAAAUGAAGUAAUAAUAUAUGUAGCGCUUAUGACAAUAGUCUGGGAACAUUCCACAUACAUUAGUAUUUCAAAGGCCUUUUCCCAAAUGGUCUGAUAAUUCAUGUAGCCCACUGGUCCCCAAAAUGUUCUGAUAAGCAUCAUCCAGAAAGUGCCUCCGAGGGAAAUCUGACUCAGUAGGUCUGUUUUGAGGCUCAAGUGUUUCGAAGGAGCACUUCAGGUGAUUCUUACCCUCAGAAAAGUUUAGGAAAUACAGAUAUACCAGAACAUGAAACAAAUGGAGAUCUUUAUCAGCUCCCGGUUCUCUAAACAUACUCCCACUCCCUUACAGCAUAUUUGAACAUCUGUGCUUGGAGGUGUGCCAUCUGAGCUCCAGGUAAAGACUUGAGAGGAGGGGAGAUGUGGAGAGAGCAGUCAGGGAUCUGCCCGGCAGAGGGCUUCAUACUGGGGAUCAGGCACAGUUGUCAUCCCUGCCUCGGCUACUUUGGCAUCUGGCCUUGCGCAAGUUUCCUGUCAUCACAUCCGACCCUCUCCUUGGGGGCUUUUGGGAGGACGCAGUGAGAUCUCAAGGUCCAGUAGUGCUGAUUUUUAUACAGGGGAGGAAGUCUGAUACUCCGUAUUCAUGAGGAAAGGGGGAGAGAAGGGGAUGGAGAGGCCCGAGGAUGAAGGUGGGAGAUGGCUUUGGCACUACUAGAAUCAAAAGCACCUGGGAGGUGGUGUGGCUGGGAGCCAGCGGCCAGCUGGCCUGUUGUCUCCCUGACCUCUCUGGCUGCCACAGACCUUGUGGCCUGAGGCUGGGCUGUGGGUGUUUGCAGUUAGUACAAGUUCAUAAAAGUAUUAGUCUUUAUUGGUGGCAGAGGCCCUGUGAUUAUUGGUGACCUUAGGAUGUUUGCAUUCCUUGGGGUUCUGUUCCUGCUAUAACAGGAGAUUUGUCCAUCUGGAUUAAGAGUAGGG